CAAUAAUAAGCAUGAUGUGAGCAACAAGGGCCCUAGCCCUGGCAACAGUUCGUUGAAUUCGGGGCCUCCGGAAUCGGCGACCACCGUGUCCUUCUCUAACAUGAGCGUGGAUAGGAUCAGCCAGCAGACGGGCAAAUCACUAGAACAGCCUUCGCCGUUGCCUCCGCGCCCCCAGGCGUCAAAUUCCAGGAAAAGGUGUUCUGGCAAAUCUGACGAAAAUGGCGCAACAUGUGCAAUCCUUGGCCGCUGCCAUUGCUCGAAACGCAGGUGCAUAUUUUAUCCCUGCCAUAUCUUGCCCCCCAAACCAUAACAAGUGCAACAAUGAACAUUUCACUGCUCUGUUACCUGCUUAGUGUUUGAGCAGCUAUGGUGGACUUUGGAAUGUUGGAGGUAACAAAGUUUCUGAAAUUGAAUAUGCUCGACAGGAAAUUGCGGUUGAAGAGGACAAUCAAGGUGAGAGCAAUCAGCAGCAAAUUAGCUGACAUACCUCCGGAUGAUUACUCGUGGCGCAAGUAUGGCCAGAAGCCUAUCAAGGGAUCACCGCACCCAAGGUACUUAGUCCCUACUUCUUUCCGUGAAUUACUGCUGAUUUCGUGUGUUUUUCAUCUACUGUAGUGUUGAUUACGAGAAAUGGGCACCGACUGUGUAACUGUCUUGUGCUUUGCAGAGGAUACUACAAGUGCAGCAGCAUACGCGGAUGUCCAGCCAGAAAACACGUUGAGCGAUCCAUGGAAGAUCCAACGAUGUUAAUUGUCACAUAUGAAGGCGAACACAACCACCCACAAUUAUCUGCGAAUGGUG
RNAcentral lists this long non-coding RNA (801 nucleotides) under Physcomitrium patens. Its description in RNAcentral is "long non-coding RNA (PPAT_LNC000830)". Lineage: Eukaryota; Viridiplantae; Streptophyta; Bryopsida; Funariales; Funariaceae. The record is from RNAcentral.